RNAcentral lists this long non-coding RNA (5783 nucleotides) under Brassica napus (rape). RNAcentral describes it as "long non-coding RNA (BNAP_LNC016623)". The record is from RNAcentral. Lineage: Eukaryota; Viridiplantae; Streptophyta; Magnoliopsida; Brassicales; Brassicaceae.
UUCUUUGGUGUGACUGCGAACCAGUAACAGACUAAGAUCAGCUGAGAAAAGGCGAUUCACAGAAGGAGAACUGGAGUAGAAGAAACUUCGGUGACGUCGCUGUAACAGGAUCUGAUUACUGGUGGUGUAUUUCGGAGGUAACAAACAGCUUGUCUUCUCCGGUGUGUUUAGAAGAGGCUUGUAUUGUUGUUACCGGAACUUUAUACCGAUUCUAGUGAAGUUGCUUGAGAGUUUCGAUCUCUCCCUGGACAGUAGGAAACGAAGUCCGGGUUAACAAAUCUUGUGUGCUCUGUUUACGAUUCUUGGUCUCGCAAUCACAAACAAACGAUCGAGUUACAUAAGAAUCUAGAUCAAAUCUAAUCAAGCAAUCGAAGCUAUAAUCAACAAGUUGUAUCAGAGCUGUGGUUUGGUGCUUGAUUGGAUUGAUUGAGGUUAAUCAAGGAGGAUGACUAUAACUACGGAGCUGGAUCCUACUCGAGGUCGGUUCGAGAUGGAUAAGUUUGAUGGAAAAGGUGACUUUGGGAUGUGGAAGUAUAAGCUUCUUGGUCAGCUUGAUAUCCAGGGGCUAGCAUCGGCUCUUGAUGAAAAUGCUACUCUUUACAAGGACUCAGAGAAGCUUGAAGAAGGAGCUGAACCAGUCUUGGAUCCAGUUAAGGUUGCUAAAGAUACUAGAGUGAAGAAUCUCACUGGAACGUGUCUUAGCGAUAUGAUACUAAGGAAAGUCAUGCAUGAGCGUACUGCUUAUGGCAUGUGGAAAGCUCUUGAACGAGAUUAUCAGACCAAGUCUCUACCUAACAUGAUCGAUCUAAAGCAACAGUUUGCUAGCUUUGAGAUGGAGGAGAGUAAAAGUAUGGAAGAGAAUAUGGAUAUGUUUCUCAAGCUAGUAGGAGAUCUAGCCAGUCUCAACAUAAAUGUGAGUGAUGAAGACCAAGCUAUACAGCUUCUAACGAGUCUUCCAGCUCAGUAUGAAGCUCUUGUGCAUACUCUAAAAUAUGGAACUGGCAAGGAGACUCUUACAGUUAGAGAAGUAACUGCUUCAUCUUACUCAAAGGAGAUUGAGUUAAGGCAGAGAGGUCUAUUGAACAAAGGAAAGUUUAGUUCAGAAGGCUUAUAUGUCGAAUCAAGAGGGAGGUCUAGCAAGAAGGGUGAUAGGAACAACAACCGUCCUAAUAAAGGAAGAUCAAAGUCUAGAGAUUACAGAUCCAAAUCUAAACCAAGGUAUAAUAAGGAGCAGAAGACUGGGUGCUUUAUAUGUGGCAAAGAUGGCCAUUGGAAGCGUGAGUGUCCCCAAAGAUACAACAAACAACAGGGAAAUGGUGAUUCAGCUAACUCUGUGUCAGAACCCAAGCAACCUCUAGUGCUUACUGUGAGCACUCAAGACUCCAAGAACGAGUGGGUUCUAGACUCAGGCUGCUCAUUUCACAUGACUCCACAGAAGGAGGAGUUGUUUGAUUUCAAAGAGCAUGAUGGUGGAAAGGUCCUAAUGGCUAACAACACUCAUUGCGAAGUUAAAGGUAUUGCGAAGAUUAAGAUUUGUAACUCAGAUGGAAGGGAGGUUAUACUUACGGAUGUUCGAUACAUGCCAAGAAUAAGCAGAAACCUAAUAUCCUAUGGUAUGCUUGAAAAAGCUGGAUGUUCCUACACGGGUGAAGACUAUAAGAUUAUUUUCUACAAGAACGGAGAAAAGGUUAUCUCUGGAAGGUAUCAAGAUGGACUAUACUAUCUGAUUGGUGAUGUGUCCAAAGCCGAAGCCAAUAUUGGAAGAGCAGAGCCAAACGUUACUGAUCUGUGGCACUCAAGGCUUGGACACAUGAGUUUAGCAAACAUGAAUGCUCUGGUCAACAAAGGUUAUUUUCAAAUCAAGGACGUUGAAGACUUAAAGUUUUGCGAGAGCUGUGUUUUGGGAAAGUCUCACAAACAAAGUUUUCCGAAGGUUAAGCAUACAACCAAAGGGAUUCUUGACUAUGUUCAUUCAGAUCUUUGGGGUUCCCCUUCAACUCCAGAAAGACUUGGUGGUUGUAAGUAUUUCGUGAGUUUCAUUGAUGAUUACUCUAAGAAGGUUUGGGUUUAUUUUCUAAGAACCAAGGAUGAAGCUUUUGAAAGGUUCAAGGAGUGGAAAAUAGAGGUAGAGAAUCAAACAGGAAAUAAACUCAAGUGUCUCAGAACCGACAAUGGUUUAGAAUUCUGAAAUCACAAGUUUGAUCAACUCUGCAAGGAUACAUGGGUUAAAAGACACCGCACCUGCACCUAUACAUCUCAACAGAAUGGGGCUUCUGAAAGAAUGAAUCGAACAAUUAUGGAUAAGGUUAGGAGCAUGUUAGCAGAGACGGGUUUGGGUUCAGAAUUUUGGGGUGAGGCUACUUCUACAGCGGUUUAUCUAAUCAACCGAACACUAGGCUCAAGUAUUGAUUUUGAAUUACCAGAAGAGAGAUGGUCAGGAGGCAAGGUUGAUUUGUCUCAUCUAAGAAGAUUUGGAUGUUCUGCAUACGUACAUAAGGUUCAAGAAAAGACAAGUCCUAGAGCUAUAAAGGGAGUAUUUGUUGGUUAUCCGUUUAGGGUCAAAGGCUACAGAGUUUGGAUUCAGGAAGAAGGAAAGUGUACCACCAGUCGGAAUGUUGUGUUUCAUGAGCAAGAACUGUUUAAAGACACAUCUAAAAGCUCAAAUGAUAACAACACUGAAAGGGUUAGAUCAGAGUCAAAGAAAGAAGGAAAGCGAGUCAGUUUUAGUGAUGAUUUGAUUCAGGGACCUUCAUCUGGAAAUUUUGAAACUGGAGAGACGUCUAAUAUGAUUGAAUAUGAUAAUGAAAGCUCACAGGGGUCAGAAUCAGAUGGAGACUCAGAUUCAGAACCAGAUGGUGGUAUUGUGGUAAGCUCUGGAGAUGUCUCAUUGGAUAACUAUGUUCUAGCCAGAGACCAGGAAAGAAGACAAAAUGUUAAAGCACCAUCGAGAUUUGAUGAUGCGAGUUUGGUUACUUAUGCCUUCAGUGUUGCUGAAGAAUUAGAUAUUGAUGAGCCAAGGUCCUAUGCCGAAGCAAUGAAGACUAAAGAAAGGAAGUUUUGGGAUAAUGCAGCUAAGGAAGAAAUGGUUUCUCUGGAAAAGAAUAGAACAUGGGACUUGAUUGAGAGACCUAAGGAUCAAAAGACGAUUGGAUGCAGAUGGAUCUUUAAGCUAAAACCGGGUAUUCUAGGAGUGGAAGACAAGCGGUUUAAAGGAAGGGUUGUAGCUAAAGGAUACUCUCAAAAGGAAGGAAUAGACUAUAAUGAAAUUUUCUCACCAGUGGUUAAACAUGUUUCGAUUCGUAGCUUCUUAUCACUGGUGGUAAAUUUCGAUAUGGAGCUAGAGCAGAUGGAUGUUAAGACAACCUUUCUACAUGGUGACUUAGAAGAAAUGAUUCUAAUGGAACAUCCUGAGGGAUUUAUUGUAAAAGGAAAUGAGGACAAGGUAUGUCUACUAAGGAAGUAUCUCUACGGUCUGAAACAGUCACCGAGACAGUGGAAUCUGAAAUUUGAUAGUUUUAUGAAGAAGCAGAUGUUCAUCAGAAGCGAGUUUGACUCAUGUGUGUACAUGAAUGACAUCAACACAAAGAAGGUAGUUUAUUUACUACUCUAUGUUGAUGACACGCUCAUAGCCUCUGGAAACAAAUCUGCGAUUCAGUCUCUGAAGGACAGUUUGAGUGGAGAGUUUGAAAUGAAAGAUUUAGGGAAAGCCUCUAUAAUUCUUGGAAUGGAGCACUCGAGAUAUGAAGAAGGGAAUUCUAGUGUUAUCACAAGAGAAGUAUCUACUGAAGGUUCUAAACACUUUUGGAAUGUCUGACGCUAGAUCAGUGGUUACACCUACGGUUUCUCAUUUCAAACUAAGGAGUCUACAUCCUAUGGAAAGAGCUGCAGAGUAUGAGCAUAUGAAAGAUGUUCCAUAUGCAAGUGCGGUUGGAAGCUUGAUGUAUGCAAUGGUUGGUUCAAGGCCAGAUUUGGGUUUUGAAGUGGGAUUCAUCAGUCGUUUUAUGUCUUAUCCUAGCAGGGAACACUGGGAAGCAGUUAAAUGGGUUUUAAGAUAUGUAGCUGGAGCCUACGAUCAGUGUUUGACAUUUAAGAAGUCUACAGAGUUCAAGGUGGAGGGUUAUUCAGACUCAGACUAUUCUGCGGAUUUGGAUAAGCAAAGAUCAGUCUCAGGAAUUGUGUUUAAAGUUGGGGGAAAUAUUGUGUCCUGGAAGUCAGGACUACAGUCAGUGGUGGCUUUAUCCACCACCAAAGCAGAGUUUAUGGCUCUAACAUUGGCAGUCAAAGAAGCUAUUUGGCUAAGGAAUUUCAUUACAGAGAUAGGUUACCAACAAGACAGUGUAAGGAUACACUGUGAUUCUCAAAGUGCAAUAGCCCUAUCUAAAAAUGCAGUACAUCAUGAGAGAACUAAGCACAUGGAUACACAGUUCAAUUUAAUCAUGGAUAUUGUAUCUAAGCGAAUCGUCAACCUAGCGAAGAUACAUACAUUUAAGAAUACUGCAGAUUUUCUGACGAAAUGUGAACCUGGUACUAAGUUACAGCUCUGCUGUGAACUUCUCAACAUCUGCUAAGGAUGAUGAUCGGCUCCGGGUAACUCUAUAAGCGCCUCAACAUACAGAAACAGAGGAGAGAUGGUUCGUGUUCUGUAAGACAUCUGAGCUAUCUGUAAAAGAAUUUGUAAACUUCAGAUUAUAGAGAGGGAGUUACCCGUACAGAAGGAGAGAUCAAUAUCGAUCUCUGGUGGUGAGGGUUGAGGUGGAGUCGUCGGUGAACGAUUGUUUCUUUGUUCAGCAGUGUUCUGUGGCUUCAGGUAGAGUAUCUGAGAUUCUUCCGUCGUGGGUGUUUUGAGUUUUGGUUUGUCAGGUCUGCAAACUCAGAAACAGAGAAAGGAAAGUCUGUGGUCAGUAUACGUCCUUGAAGUUAUCAAAUGUGUUAUGAAUAAUAAUAAAAAGGGCCUGAGAAAGUUGUUACCUUAGAAAGAAAACGUGGUGGUGUUUUUUUCUGGGUUCUUCAAGCUGUGGAAACCCAGAUCGAAAACAUGAAAAGUAAAAGAAAAGGUUUUCAGGGUGUGUCUUUCGUCUUCAGUGAAGACCGAUAGAUCAUCAGUUUUGACUUCUCAGGUUAAUAUCAGGAAAGAAGAGUCAGAGGUUAUUACCUUGUUAACAGGGAAGUGUUUCACCAGAGAAAGGUGAGUUUUUCUCAGUGGUUUAUGUCAGAGCUCGUCUAUAGAGAUGGAGGGGCAAAGCGGCGGCAAGAGAGAGAAGAGACAGAAGACUUCUGAGGGGCUUUCACGAACCUUGCCCGAAGUCAAGAGGUGGAGAUUUGUGGGUUUUGGGCUUGACUCCGGUCAUUUCCGUAAAGUCCAUCAACAGUGCCUUCUUCGUUUGGGCCGAAACUGACUAAAGCCCAAUCUUGCUGCUACGUCGUUUUGACGGUUAUAUUGGCCUAACGACAUUAUCUUCUUCGGUGUGACUGCGAACCAGUAACAGACUAAGAUCAGCUGAGAAGAGGCGAUUCACAGAAAGAGAGAAUCGAGGAGAAAGAGUUUCACCUGAGCGAUUGAUCGGAGAACUGGAGUAGAAGAAACUCCGGUGACGUCGCUGUAACAGGAUCCGAUUACCGGUGGUGUAUUUCGGAGGUAACAAACAGCGCGUCUUCUCCGGUGUGUUUAGAUCGAGACUUGUAUUGUUGUUACCAGAACUUUAUACUGAUUCUAGUGAAGUUGCUUGAGAGUUUCGAUCUCUCCCCAGACAGUAGGAAACGAAGUCCGGGUUAACAAAUCUUGU